CCUACGGGUGGCAGCAGUGGGGAAUAUUGGACAAUGGGCGAAAGCCUGAUCCAGCCAUGCCGCGUGAGUGAUGAAGGCCUUAGGGUUGUAAAGCUCUUUCAGUGGGGACGAUAAUGACGGUACCCACAGAAGAAGCCCCGGCUAACUUCGUGCCAGCAGCCGCGGUAAUACGAAGGGGGCUAGCGUUGUUCGGAUUUACUGGGCGUAAAGCGCACGUAGGCGGAUUGUUAAGUGAGGGGUGAAAUCCCAGGGCUCAACCCUGGAACUGCCUUUCAUACUGGCAAUCUAGAGUCCGGAAGAGGUGAGUGGAACUCCUAGUGUAGAGGUGGAAUUCGUAGAUAUUAGGAAGAACACCAGUGGCGAAGGCGGCUCACUGGUCCGGUACUGACGCUGAGGUGCGAAAGCGUGGGGAGCAAACAGGAUUAGAUACCCUUGUAGU
This 439-nucleotide ribosomal RNA is filed under the name uncultured Leuconostoc sp. RNAcentral's name for it is "bacterial SSU rRNA". It matches the Rfam family "Bacterial small subunit ribosomal RNA", at positions 338 to 794 of the family's 1533-position model. Lineage: Bacteria; Bacillati; Bacillota; Bacilli; Lactobacillales; Lactobacillaceae. The record is from RNAcentral.